This 468-nucleotide ribosomal RNA is filed under the name uncultured bacterium. RNAcentral describes it as "partial 16S ribosomal RNA". It matches the Rfam family "Bacterial small subunit ribosomal RNA", at positions 28 to 507 of the family's 1533-position model. The record is from RNAcentral.
GACGAACGCUGGCGGCGUGCUUAACACAUGCCAGUCGAACGGAAAGGCCCUGCUUUUGUGGGGUGCUCGAGUGGCGAACGGGUGAGUAACACGUGAGUAACCUGCCCUUGACUUUGGGAUAACUUCAGGAAACUGGGGCUAAUACCGGAUAGGAGCUCCUGCUGCAUGGUGGGGGUUGGAAAGUUUCGGCGGUUGGGGAUGGACUCGCGGCUUAUCAGCUUGUUGGUGGGGUAGUGGCUUACCAAGGCUUUGACGGGUAGCCGGCCUGAGAGGGUGACCGGCCACAUUGGGACUGAGAUACGGCCCAGACUCCUACGGGAGGCAGCAGUGGGGAGUAUUGCACAAUGGGCGGAAGCCUGAUGCAGCAACGCCGCGUGUGGGAUGACGGCCUUCGGGUUGUAAACCGCUUUCGCCUGUGACGAAGCGUGAGUGACGGUAAUGGGUAAAGAAGCACCGGCUAACUACGUG